Molecule: ribosomal RNA, 648 nt
Filed under: Escherichia coli
Lineage: Bacteria; Pseudomonadati; Pseudomonadota; Gammaproteobacteria; Enterobacterales; Enterobacteriaceae
Description: partial 23S ribosomal RNA
Rfam family: Bacterial large subunit ribosomal RNA
Source: RNAcentral
UGUAUAAUGGGUCAGCGACUUAUAUUCUGUAGCAAGGUUAACCGAAUAGGGGAGCCGAAGGGAAACCGAGUCUUAACUGGGCGUUAAGUUGCAGGGUAUAGACCCGAAACCCGGUGAUCUAGCCAUGGGCAGGUUGAAGGUUGGGUAACACUAACUGGAGGACCGAACCGACUAAUGUUGAAAAAUUAGCGGAUGACUUGUGGCUGGGGGUGAAAGGCCAAUCAAACCGGGAGAUAGCUGGUUCUCCCCGAAAGCUAUUUAGGUAGCGCCUCGUGAAUUCAUCUCCGGGGGUAGAGCACUGUUUCGGCAAGGGGGUCAUCCCGACUUACCAACCCGAUGCAAACUGCGAAUACCGGAGAAUGUUAUCACGGGAGACACACGGCGGGUGCUAACGUCCGUCGUGAAGAGGGAAACAACCCAGACCGCCAGCUAAGGUCCCAAAGUCAUGGUUAAGUGGGAAACGAUGUGGGAAGGCCCAGACAGCCAGGAUGUUGGCUUAGAAGCAGCCAUCAUUUAAAGAAAGCGUAAUAGCUCACUGGUCGAGUCGGCCUGCGCGGAAGAUGUAACGGGGCUAAACCAUGCACCGAAGCUGCGGCAGCGACACUGUGUGUUGUUGGGUAGGGGAGCGUUCUGUAAGCCUGUGAAGGU